CUAUCCUUUACCUUAGACAGGUUUAUCAGAACAGUAUUUACUGAUGGUGAAUAUCCAGACAGAAAUUCAAUAUUUCAGUAACACAUUCACUUUUAUGAACUGAUCAUCAAGGCUUCUGGAAUUCAGUAAAGAGUUAAAAAUGAUGGUCAUGAAUACUGCUGACUUCUUUGCUCUGAACUAUUUCACUUAAGAUCAAGAAAUACAGACAAGAAUCUAAGCGUCUCAAUGGCCAUUGAGGCUGAACAAAUAACGGAUCCUUCUUGGCCUGUUGCAACUGGGAGUUUGUGGCUGGCUGUAGUACCAUGGGGUUUACACUGACUUCUGUAUUAUAUCAAGGAUACAUAUAAUAUCCCUGUAAUUUACAUCACUGAGAAUGGGUUUUCCCAAAGUGACCCUGCUCUACUUGAUGACAGUCAAUGAUGGGAGUAUUUCAGGCUGAAUUUACAGGAAAUUUUAUAAGGUAUAAUCAAAUGUCUCUUCAUGAGCUCCUGAGAGGCAAAAUGCAUUGCUGAAGCUGGACCAAAGUGCCUGGGACUGAGAUGUUUUAUGACAUUGUUCAGGGUCCUUCAGCCAAGAAGGGAAAAAGAUGGUGGCAGCUGAGAAUAUCAGUCCCAGUGUAAGUAGUUACAUUUUCAAGGAUUUCAGGUUGUGGUGACUAGCAGUUAUUCUCUAAAACUUAAUAAAUUACAGAAAAGAAUGCA
RNAcentral lists this long non-coding RNA (701 nucleotides) under Anas platyrhynchos platyrhynchos (common mallard). RNAcentral describes it as "lncRNA (ENSAPLG00000031038.1)". The record is from RNAcentral. Lineage: Eukaryota; Metazoa; Chordata; Aves; Anseriformes; Anatidae.